UGGCACCUUCGGUGUCCGAGUUGUAAUUUGAAGAAGGUAACUUUGGAGUUGGCUCUUGUCUAUGUUCCUUGGAACAGGACGUCACAGAGGGUGAGAAUCCCGUGCGAUGAGAUGCCCAAUUCUAUGUAAAGUGCUUUCGAAGAGUCGAGUUGUUUGGGAAUGCAGCUCUAAGUGGGUGGUAAAUUCCAUCUAAAGCUAAAUAUUGGCGAGAGACCGAUAGCGAACAAGUACAGUGAUGGAAAGAUGAAAAGAACUUUGAAAAGAGAGUGAAAAAGUACGUGAAAUUGUUGAAAGGGAAGGGCUUGAGAUCAGACUUGGUAUUUUGCGAUCCUUUCCUUCUUGGUUGGGUUCCUCGCAGCUUACUGGGCCAGCAUCGGUUUGGAUGGUAGGAUAAUGACUAAGGAAUGUGGCUCUACUUCGGUGGAGUGUUAUAGCCUUGGUUGAUACUGCCUGUCUAGACCGAGGACUGC
Molecule: ribosomal RNA, 470 nt
Filed under: Debaryomyces hansenii
Lineage: Eukaryota; Fungi; Ascomycota; Pichiomycetes; Serinales; Debaryomycetaceae
Description: partial large subunit ribosomal RNA
Rfam family: Eukaryotic large subunit ribosomal RNA
Source: RNAcentral